GAUGAACGCUGGCGGCGUGCUAACACAUGCAAGUCGAACGAAGCACUUUUAUUUGAUUUCUUCGGAAUGAAGAUUUUAGUGACUGAGUGGCGGACGGGUGAGUAACGCGUGGGUAACCUGCCUCAUACAGGGGGAUAACAGUUGGAAAUGACUGCUAAUACCGCAUAAGACCACAGUACCGCAUGGUGCAGGGGUAAAAACUCCGGUGGUAUGAGAUGGACCCGCGUCUGAUUAGGUAGUUGGUGGGGUAACGGCCUACCAAGCCGACGAUCAGUAGCCGACCUGAGAGGGUGACCGGCCACAUUGGGACUGAGACACGGCCCAA
RNAcentral lists this ribosomal RNA (325 nucleotides) under uncultured bacterium. Its description in RNAcentral is "bacterial SSU rRNA". It matches the Rfam family "Bacterial small subunit ribosomal RNA", at positions 28 to 334 of the family's 1533-position model. The record is from RNAcentral.